RNAcentral lists this signal recognition particle RNA (299 nucleotides) under Cebus imitator (Panamanian white-faced capuchin). Its description in RNAcentral is "Metazoan signal recognition particle RNA (ENSCCAG00000007214.1)". It matches the Rfam family "Metazoan signal recognition particle RNA". From Rfam's summary of the family: The signal recognition particle (SRP) is a universally conserved ribonucleoprotein. It is involved in the co-translational targeting of proteins to membranes. The record is from RNAcentral. Lineage: Eukaryota; Metazoa; Chordata; Mammalia; Primates; Cebidae.
GCCAGGUGCGGUGGCCUGUGCCUGUAGUCCCAGCGACUCGGGAGGCUGAGGUGGGAUGAUUGCUUGAACCCAGGAGUUCUGGGCUGUAGUGCGCUGUGCUGAUCGGAUGUCCACACUAAGUUUGACAUCAAUAUGGUGACCUCCUGAGAGUGGGGGACCACCAGGUUGCCUAAGGAGGAGUGAACUGUUCCAGGUCGGAAACAGAGCAGGUCAAAACUCUCAUGCUGAUCAGUGGUGGGAUCGCACCUGUGAAUAGCCACUGCACUCUAGCCUGGGCAACAUAGCGAGACCUUGUCUCU